Molecule: ribosomal RNA, 756 nt
Filed under: uncultured bacterium
Lineage: Bacteria
Description: bacterial SSU rRNA
Rfam family: Bacterial small subunit ribosomal RNA
Source: RNAcentral
AGAGUUUGAUCAUGGCUCAGAAUCAACGCUGGCGGCGCGCCUAACACAUGCAAGUCGAACGAGAAAGUGGAGCAAUCCAUGAGUACAGUGGCGUACGGGUGAGUAACACGUGGGUAAUCUACCUCUUAGUGUGGAAUAACUUUGGGAAACCGAAGCUAAUACCGCAUAAGCUCGAGAGAGGAAAGCAGCAAUGCGCUGAGAGAGGAGCCCGCGGCCGAUUAGCUAGUUGGCAGGGUAAAAGCCUACCAAGGCAUAGAUCGGUAGCCGGCCUGAGAGGGCACACGGCCACACUGGCACUGAAACACGGGCCAGACUCCUACGGGAGGCAGCAGUGGGGAAUCUUGCACAAUGGGGGAAACCCUGAUGCAGCGACGCCGCGUGAGCGAUGAAGCCCUUCGGGGUGUAAAGCUCUUUCGGCAGGGAAGAUCGUGACGGUACCUGCAGAAGCAGCUGCGGCUAACUACGUGCCAGCAGCCGCGGUAAUACGUAGGCAGCGAGCGUUGUUCGGAGUUACUGGGCGUAAAGGGUGUGUAGGCGGUUGUUUAAGUUUGGUGUGAAAUCUCCCGGCUCAACUGGGAGGGUGCGCCGAAUACUGAAUGACUAGAGUACGGGAGAGGAAAGUGGAAUUCCUGGUGUAGCGGUGAAAUGCGUAGAUAUCAGGAGGAACACCGGUGGUGUAGACGGCUUUCUGGACCGUAACUGACGCUGAGACACGAAAGCGUGGGUAGCAAACAGGAUUAGAUACCCUAGUAGUCC